AUACGGAGGGGGCUAGCGUUGUUCGGAAUUACUGGGCGUAAAGGGCGCGUAGGCGGGCAGGAAAGUCUCUCGUGAAAUCCCACGGCUCAACCGUGGAAUUGCGGGAGAUACUACUUGUCUUGAGUUCGGGAGAGGAGUGUGGAAUUCCCAGUGUAGCGGUGAAAUGCGUAGAUAUUGGGAGGAACACCGGUGGCGAAGGCGGCACUCUGGACCGAUACUGACGCUGAGGCGCGAAAGCUAGGGGAGCAAACGGGAUUAGAAACCCCAGUAGUCC
RNAcentral lists this ribosomal RNA (274 nucleotides) under uncultured bacterium. RNAcentral describes it as "partial 16S ribosomal RNA". It matches the Rfam family "Bacterial small subunit ribosomal RNA", at positions 523 to 796 of the family's 1533-position model. The record is from RNAcentral.